GGCGGCGGACGGGUGAGUAACGCGGGGGUAACCUGCCCUAUACACACGGAUAACAUACCGAAAGGUAUGCUAAUACGAGAUAAUAUAAGAGAUUCACAUGGAUUUCUUAUCAAAGCUGAGGCGGUAUAGGAUGGACCCGCGUCUGAUUAGCUAGUUGGUAAGGUAACGGCUUACCAAGGCGACGAUCAGUAGCCGACCUGAGAGGGUGAUCGGCCACAUUGGAACUGAGACACGGUCCAAACUCCUACGGGAGGCAGCAGUGGGGAAUAUUGCACAAUGGGCGAAAGCCUGAUGCAGCAACGCCGCGUGAGUGAUGAAGGCCUUCGGGUCGUAAAACUCUGUCCUCAAGGAAGAUAAUGACGGUACUUGAGGAGGAAGCCCCGGCUAACUACGUGCCAGCAGCCGCGGUAAUACGUAGGGGGCUAGCGUUAUCCGGAUUUACUGGGCAUAAAGGGUGCGUAGGUGGUCUCUUAAGUCAGGAGUGAAAGGCUACGGCUUAACCGUAGUAAGCUCUUGAAACUGGGAGACUUGAGUGCAGGAGAGGAAAGUGGAAUUCCUAGUGUAGCGGUGAAAUGCGUAGAUAUUAGGAGGAACACCAGUAGCGAAGGCGGCUUUCUGGACUGUAACUGACACUGAGGCACGAAAGCGUGGGGAGCAAACAGGAUUAGAUACCCUGGUAGUCCACGCCGUAAACGAUGAGUACUAGGUGU
This 710-nucleotide ribosomal RNA is filed under the name uncultured bacterium. Its description in RNAcentral is "bacterial SSU rRNA". It matches the Rfam family "Bacterial small subunit ribosomal RNA", at positions 94 to 823 of the family's 1533-position model. The record is from RNAcentral.